This 361-nucleotide unclassified non-coding RNA is filed under the name Hevea brasiliensis (rubber tree). The record is from RNAcentral. Lineage: Eukaryota; Viridiplantae; Streptophyta; Magnoliopsida; Malpighiales; Euphorbiaceae.
AAACAACCCUUCCCUCAGUUCCUGCUCCUGGCGCUGUUCUCCUGCUCAUCUAUGUAACCGCCAAGCCAUGAAGCGCUGCAAUACUAUAAAAAGUGACCUCUCUUCCAUGUGGUCAUCAAAGCCGAAAAGACCUCUCUUCCUUGCUUGUCUGCCUCCUUGUCUGCUUCACCGUCUCGUAAAAAAAUGGAGAAAGCGAUCAACAGGCAGCGAGUUCUUCUCGAUCGCCUUCGUCCUUCUUCAUCUUCUUUGCACAAUUAUGAGUCCUCUCUCUCUGCAUUGGCGUGCUUGGCUGGAGAGAGCGCUGCGUAUCAUAGGACUUCGGUUUAUGGGGAUGAUUUUGUGAUUGUAGCAGCAUAUCGAA